GAUGAACGCUGGCGGCGUGCCUAAUACAUGCAAGUCGAGCGAACUUUUGGGAGCUUGCUCCCAAAAGUUAGCGGCGGACGGGUGAGUAACACGUGGGUAACCUGCCUGUAAGACUGGGAUAACUUCGGGAAACCGGAGCUAAUACCGGAUAACAUUGAAGACCACAGGGCCUUCAAUUAAAAGGUGGCUUUUAGCUACCACUUACAGAUGGACCCGCGGCGCAUUAGCUAGUUGGUGAGGUAACGGCUCACCAAGGCGACGAUGCGUAGCCGACCUGAGAGGGUGAUCGGCCACACUGGGACUGGGACCCCGCCCAGGCCCCUACGGGGGGCAGCAGUAGGGGAUCUUCCGCCAUGGACGAAAGUCUGACGGCGCCCCGCCGCGUGAGCGGAGAAGGCCUUCGGGUCGUAAAGCUCUGUUGUUAGGGAAGAACAAGUAUCGUUCGAAUAGGGCGGUACCUUGACGGUACCUAACCAGAAAGCCACGGCUAACUACGUG
Molecule: ribosomal RNA, 498 nt
Filed under: uncultured bacterium
Lineage: Bacteria
Description: partial 16S ribosomal RNA
Rfam family: Bacterial small subunit ribosomal RNA
Source: RNAcentral